This 473-nucleotide ribosomal RNA is filed under the name uncultured bacterium. Its description in RNAcentral is "bacterial SSU rRNA". It matches the Rfam family "Bacterial small subunit ribosomal RNA", at positions 28 to 507 of the family's 1533-position model. The record is from RNAcentral.
GACGAACGCUGGCGGCGUGCCUAACACAUGCAAGUCGAGCGGAGAUAUAUGGAAGGUUUACCGGAAAUAUAUCUUAGCGGCGGACGGGUGAGUAACGCGUGGGCAACCUGCCUCAUACAGGGGGGAUAACACAGGGAAACUUGUGCUAAUACCGCGUGAAAUCAUAGUAUGGCAUCAUACAAUGAUCAAAGGAGCAAUCCGGUAUGAGAUGGGCCCGCGUCCGAUUAGCUAGUUGGUGAGGUAACGGCUCACCAAGGCGACGAUCGGUAGCCGAACUGAGAGGUUGAUCGGCCACAUUGGGACUGAGACACGGCCCAGACUCCUACGGGAGGCAGCAGUGGGGAAUAUUGCGCAAUGGGGGAAACCCUGACGCAGCAACGCCGCGUGAAGGAAGAAGGCCUCGGUUGUAACUUCUUUGAUAGGGGACGGAUAAUAGACGGUACCCUAAAACCAAGACCACGGCUAACUACGUG